RNAcentral lists this long non-coding RNA (348 nucleotides) under Rattus norvegicus (Norway rat). Its description in RNAcentral is "long non-coding RNA NONRATT002853". The record is from RNAcentral. Lineage: Eukaryota; Metazoa; Chordata; Mammalia; Rodentia; Muridae.
UUUUCUUUGGAUUAUGUUGGGAUGUUUACCUUCAUCUUUUCGUUAUUCUCAUUUUUCAUAAGCCUCAAAUUACCUACUCCUCCUGCCUGGUUUCUCUGGCUUUCUGGGACCUGCAUAGUCUUCAUGCAGGUGAAUCUGGCUGUACUCAAGUCUGAGGAAUAAGUUCUGAGUCUUAACUCCAAGGCAAGUUAGUCACCUUGUCUUCUGCAGGGCUGGCAGUUUGUUGGACACUCAGCUUGGUGCAAGGAGAUCACCAGCCUUACUCUCCUGCUGCCACGAGUGAAUUCCCUGAAACAAUUGAUUGUACUCCGAAAUUGUGAGCCAAAAAUUAAACUCUUCCUCCUGUAA